This 193-nucleotide ribosomal RNA is filed under the name uncultured Actinomycetales bacterium. RNAcentral's name for it is "partial 16S ribosomal RNA". It matches the Rfam family "Bacterial small subunit ribosomal RNA", at positions 140 to 334 of the family's 1533-position model. Lineage: Bacteria; Bacillati; Actinomycetota; Actinomycetes; Actinomycetales. The record is from RNAcentral.
GUAGUAACUUCAGGAAACUGGGGCUAAUACCGGAUAGGAGCUCCUGCUGCAUGGUGGGGGUUGGAAAGUUUCGGCGGUUGGGGAUGGACUCGCGGCUUAUCAGCUUGUUGGUGGGGUAGUGGCUUACCAAGGCUUUGACGGGUAGCCGGCCUGAGAGGGUGACCGGCCACAUUGGGACUGAGAUACGGCCCAG